UGGGGAAUAUUGGGCAAUGGAGGCAACUCUGACCCAGCAAUGCCGCGUGAGUGAUGAAUGGAUUUUUCUUGUAAAGCUCUUUUCUUUGGAACGAACAAAUGACGGUACCAAAGGAAUAAGCCCCGGCUAACUACGUGCCAGCAGCCGCGGUAAUACGUAGGGGGCAAGCGUUGUUCGGAAUGACUGGGCGUAAAGGGUGUGUAGGUGGUUUGAUAAGUUAGAUGUGUAAUACCCAGGGCUUAACUCGGGUGCUGCAUCUAAAACUGUUAGACUUGAGUACUGGAGAGGAUAGCGGAAUUCCUAGUGUAGCGGUGGAAUGCGUAGAUAUUAGGAGGAACAUCAGUGGCGAAGGCGGCUAUCUGGACAGCAACUGACACUGAGGCACGAAAGCGUGGGGAGCAAACAGG
This 407-nucleotide ribosomal RNA is filed under the name uncultured bacterium. RNAcentral describes it as "bacterial SSU rRNA". It matches the Rfam family "Bacterial small subunit ribosomal RNA", at positions 355 to 776 of the family's 1533-position model. The record is from RNAcentral.